CGGGGCCGCACAAGCGGUGGAGCAUGUGGUUUAAUUCGACGCAACGCGAAGAACCUUACCUGGGCUUGACAUCCCGAUCGCACCUUAUGGAAACAUAGGGGUCAGUUCGGCUGGAUCGGUGACAGGUGCUGCAUGGCUGUCGUCAGCUCGUGUCGUGAGAUGUUGGGUUAAGUCCCGCAACGAGCGCAACCCUUGUCCUUAGUUGCCAGCAUUCAGUUGGGCACUCUAAGGAGACUGCCGGUGUCAAACCGGAGGAAGGUGGGGAUGACGUCAAGUCCUCAUGGCCCUUAUGUCCAGGGCUACACACGUGCUACAAUGGCCGGUACAAAGGGGCGCAAGACCGCGAGGUGGAGCAAAUCCCAAAAAACCGGUCUCAGUUCGGAUUGGAGUCUGCAACUCGACUCCAUGAAGUUGGAAUCGCUAGUAAUCGCGUAUCAGCAUGACGCGGUGAAUACGUUCCCGGGCCUU
This 468-nucleotide ribosomal RNA is filed under the name uncultured Desulfuromonas sp. RNAcentral describes it as "bacterial SSU rRNA". It matches the Rfam family "Bacterial small subunit ribosomal RNA", at positions 917 to 1381 of the family's 1533-position model. Lineage: Bacteria; Pseudomonadati; Thermodesulfobacteriota; Desulfuromonadia; Desulfuromonadales; Desulfuromonadaceae. The record is from RNAcentral.